GAUUUAAUGAGUAUGGGGGAGGUAAAUGGUAGAAAUAGCAAUGUGAACUACAUUUCCCAUGACCCCCUUCAGUCAACAUGUUUGAAUACUCACAUCAGAGCAGCAUUUUCUUGUUCAAUGUGUUGUUGCUUCUCCUCCAUGGAUUUGACACAAGCUUCAAAAACAUCAACAAACAACUUUAAGAAGUUACCUGAGCAGUUUCCCAACCACCAUUAUGCUACAGAAAUGCUGGAACAACAACACGGACAACCAAACGUCCUUUGGGAAGCAGAUCGCAUUUGGAUUGGGUUUUGUUCGGGCUGAGGUAAAAACAACACUAUGUCAUCAAGCACACUGCAUCAUGUCGCAUAUAAUACAAUUACGGCCCACUCAAUGCGUUUCCUAAUGCAAUGUAAAAUUUGUUUAGACAUCUCCC
Molecule: long non-coding RNA, 415 nt
Filed under: Sinocyclocheilus anshuiensis
Lineage: Eukaryota; Metazoa; Chordata; Actinopteri; Cypriniformes; Cyprinidae
Description: lncRNA (ENSSANG00000014236.1)
Source: RNAcentral